GCAACUGAACUACCAUAAAGCAGUGUAAUCUCAUUUCAUUAAUGAAGAAACAGGUUCGGGGGAAGACAAAAGUAGUUUGGCUGAUUCAUCCUGGACAUCGGAAUCUGGUUGCAGAGAAGAAAAGGAGUUUCUGAGGGAUGAUUUCCUGAAAUGGGACCAAAAUCUAUUAUCAGGAGUUACAAGUUCCACAAGUUCCAGCUCUGCGCAACCUUGAAAGUGUUGCAAGAGGCACUUGUGACAAUCGCCCAGGCUGCUUCUUCUUUCAUUAAUCAAACAGACCCUAUGGCUCAGAAAAGUGAGGAGACUCUGCAGUUGGAGGAACUACCUUCCAGGAGCAGGGGGAAGAGGCUGAAUGCUUCAGAUAAUUCAAGAGACAAAGACCCUGGGCUUCAGGUCAAGCCUUCAUGAGGAAGCUCAUGCUCAUCUUCAGUUUGUUUAUCAAAAGGGAACAGAAACAACAACAGUAUCAAGCAAGAAGAAAAGCAGAUGUCCUCAGCAAAGGUGAGAAGUUUUGACAGUAUUAAUUGAGAAAUGAAACUCUGAGUAAGAAACACUACAUAGACUGAAGCAAUGACUAAUCAUUAGAGGAUGAUUCAAGACCCCUGAACGCCUCAUGAGAGGUGUUAUUGAACUGCUAGAUGCAAGGUCAAUCUUCCACAGAAAAGAAGAAACAAAGGAGUUAACUUGAGAGAAAAAUUCUUGUGAGCAAUGAGACCUUUUCUUUUUGAAAGGAAAAUUCCGUGCUUUCCCUUCUGGUUGGCCUGCCGUAGAGGAUGUGCUUUUGGAGUACAGCAUGUACAGUG
Junco hyemalis (dark-eyed junco) is the source of this 803-nucleotide long non-coding RNA. Lineage: Eukaryota; Metazoa; Chordata; Aves; Passeriformes; Passerellidae. The record is from Ensembl.